UUGGUGGCUGAUGUUUGGGCGCGUGUGACAGCGCGAAGAAGGGAUAGUGCUCACUGCUCUUAUCAAGUGGACUGGCAUGGAGUUUUACGGUAGGCCGGGAGGGCGAGUGCUAUGUCUCGGAGGACGAUGUGGACGUACCUGGCGGGAUCUACCUGAAGCCGGGUCAGGACUACUACCGCUCUCCGGCCGCCUGUGAGGUCUUCAAGUGCAGAGAGUCCUCCAGAGGUCUGGAGCUCAGCUUUUCCUCGUGCGGUGUGCUCAUCCCUUCCGAGGGGUGUACGCUGGUAUCCGAUGAUUCCGUCAACUACCCGCACUGCUGCCCCGAGAUCCGGUGCACCGGAUCUCGGCGGUGCUAGCUGAGCUAGCACCGCGGUGCUAGCUCGGCUCCGAGAUCGGCGCUGGGUAUGGACUGUCGUGUGGCCGCUGGUUACGUGAUGUCCGUCUUGACACCAGGGUGGUCAAUACACGAGUUCGGAGGCG
Molecule: unclassified non-coding RNA, 480 nt
Filed under: Amphibalanus amphitrite
Lineage: Eukaryota; Metazoa; Arthropoda; Thecostraca; Balanomorpha; Balanidae
Description: venom toxin OcyC11-like, transcript variant X4
Source: RNAcentral